Trichomycterus rosablanca is the source of this 301-nucleotide long non-coding RNA. RefSeq lists it as uncharacterized. The transcript has 3 exons. The record is from RefSeq and is a predicted model, not a curated record. Lineage: Eukaryota; Metazoa; Chordata; Actinopteri; Siluriformes; Trichomycteridae.
CAACAGCAAGAUGAUGAAGACUUGAAUGUCAUCCCUCUGGAUUCAGUAGAAGCCCUAGAAAAUUUAGAAGAAAGGCUUCUGAGCAACGGACUGAAGCAAAGGAUGAUUAACAUGCUGUCACUAAGUGGUGGACAUACCAUGAAAAAGACAAUCUGGAGAAUUGCCAGCAAGGUGUUCACCCCCAACCUUGCGAAAAGCCUUAACUGGUGCGGCAGGGGAGACAAGCGAGGUCUAAAACAAACCGCAUGUGGACAAGUUAUUAUUGCUGCCGCGAUGAAAAAUCCAGUGCUGCCAGCGCCGA